RNAcentral lists this ribosomal RNA (253 nucleotides) under uncultured bacterium. RNAcentral describes it as "partial 16S ribosomal RNA". It matches the Rfam family "Bacterial small subunit ribosomal RNA", at positions 524 to 776 of the family's 1533-position model. The record is from RNAcentral.
UACGAAGGGGGCUAGCGUUGCUCGGAAUCACUGGGCGUAAAGCGCACGUAGGCGGCUUGUUAAGUCAGGGGUGAAAUCCUGGAGCUCAACUCCAGAACUGCCUUUGAUACUGGCGAUCUCGAGUCCGGGAGAGGUGAGUGGAACUGCGAGUGUAGAGGUGAAAUUCGUAGAUAUCAGGAAGAACACCUAUGGCGAAGGCAGCUCUCUGGGACGGUACUGACGCUGAGACGCGAAAGCGUGGGGAGCGAACAGG